AUUGAACGCUGGCGGCAUGCCUUACACAUGCAAGUCGAACGGCAGCACGGGAGCAAUCCUGGUGGCGAGUGGCGAACGGGUGAGUAAAGUAUCGGAACGUGCCCAGUCGUGGGGGAUAACGUAGCGAAAGUUACGCUAACACCGCAUACGAUCUAUGGAUGAAAGCGGGGGACCGCAAGACUUCGCGCGAUUGGAGCGGCCGAUAUCCGAUUAGGUAGUUGGUGGGGUAAAGGCUCACCAAGCCGACGAUCUGUAGCUGGUCUUAGAGGACGACCGGGCAGACUGGGACGGAGACGCGGCACAGACUCCUACGGGAGGCAGCAGUGGGGAAUUUUGGACAAUGGGCGAAAGCCUGAUCCAGCCAUGCCGCGUGCAGGAUGAAGGCCUUCGGGUUGUAAACUGCUUUUGUACGGAACGAAAAGGUUUGGCCUAAUAAGCUGAGCUCAUGACGGUACCGUAAGAAUAAGCACCGGCUAACUACGUGCCAGCAGCCGCGGUAA
RNAcentral lists this ribosomal RNA (500 nucleotides) under uncultured bacterium. Its description in RNAcentral is "partial 16S ribosomal RNA". It matches the Rfam family "Bacterial small subunit ribosomal RNA", at positions 29 to 523 of the family's 1533-position model. The record is from RNAcentral.